CCUACGGGUGGCAGCAGUGGGGAAUAUUGCACAAUGGGGGAAACCCUGAUGCAGCGACGCCGCGUGAGUGAAGAAGUAAUUCGUUACGUAAAGCUCUAUCAGCAGGGAAGAAACACUGACCUUACGGUCAGCAGACGGUACCUGCGUAAGAAGCCCCGGCUAACUACGUGCCAGCAGCCGCGGUAAUACGGCGGGGGCAAGUGGUAUCCGGAUUUAUUGGGGGUAUAGGGAGCGGAGGCGGUGCGCCAAGUCUGGAGGGAAAGGCCGCAGCUUAACGGCGGAACUGCUUUGGAAACUGGCGAACGAGAGUGCGGGAGGGGUAAGCGGAAUUCCUAGUGUAGCGGGGAAAUGCGUAGAUAUUAGGAGGAACAUCGGUGGCGAAGGCGGCUUACUGGACCGUAACUGACGUUGAGGCUCGAAAGCGUGGGGAGCAAACAGGAUUAGAUACCCCUGUAGUC
RNAcentral lists this ribosomal RNA (458 nucleotides) under uncultured bacterium. RNAcentral describes it as "partial 16S ribosomal RNA". It matches the Rfam family "Bacterial small subunit ribosomal RNA", at positions 338 to 795 of the family's 1533-position model. The record is from RNAcentral.